Molecule: long non-coding RNA, 334 nt
Filed under: Nicotiana tabacum (common tobacco)
Lineage: Eukaryota; Viridiplantae; Streptophyta; Magnoliopsida; Solanales; Solanaceae
Description: long non-coding RNA (NTAB_LNC003435)
Source: RNAcentral
ACACGUAGGGAUCAUUGAUCCCAAUAUCAUCCCGGAGUCUAGUUUCCAAACUCAGUGGCUGAUGAUAUUCACGACGCUCUGGGAAUCCAUCCUGUCUGUAAUAAUCACGUAGCUCUACUACUGCCUGCCUUCUGUAAACAUCAGGAUUGCCUAGCACUGUUUCACGUGGCUCUACUACUGCCUGUCUUCUGUAAACAUCAGGAUUGCCUAGCACUGUGUCCCGCCUAUAAGCAUCAGGGAGUUCCACCAAUCGGCUCUGCCUAUAAGUAUCAUCAUGCUGUAUCACUGUGUCCCGUCUAUAAGGAUCUGUUCUCAAAGUCCUACUAUAUGCAUA